CAGUAGCCACGGUAAUACGGAGGGCGCGAGCGUUACCCGGAUUUACUGGGCGUAAAGGGCGUGUAGGCGGCCUGGGGCGUCCCAUGUGAAAGGCCACGGCUCAACCGUGGAGGAGCGUGGGAUACGCUCAGGCUAGAGGGUGGGAGAGGGUGGUGGAAUUCCCGGAGUAGCGGUGAAAUGCGCAGAUACCGGGAGGAACGCCGAUGGCGAAGGCAGCCACCUGGUCCACUUCUGACGCUGAGGCGCGAAAGCGUGGGGAGCAAACCGGAUUAGAUACCCCGGUAGUCCCUGUCUCUUAUAA
This 301-nucleotide ribosomal RNA is filed under the name uncultured bacterium. RNAcentral's name for it is "partial 16S ribosomal RNA". It matches the Rfam family "Bacterial small subunit ribosomal RNA", at positions 509 to 809 of the family's 1533-position model. The record is from RNAcentral.